GACUCAUAGUAACUGAUCGGAUCGCAUGGGCUUGUCCCGCGACAAACCAUUCAAGUUUCUGCCCCAUCAGCUUUCGAUGGUAGUGUAUUGGACUACCAUGGCUUUUACGGGUAACGGAGGAUUAGGGUUCGAUUCCGGAGAGGGAGCCUGAGAAACGGCUACCACAUCUAAGGAAGGCAGCAGGCGCGUAAAUUACCCAAUCCUGACUCAGGGAGGUAGUGACAAGAAAUAACGGGCCGGGA
This 242-nucleotide ribosomal RNA is filed under the name uncultured Spirotrichea. RNAcentral describes it as "partial small subunit ribosomal RNA". It matches the Rfam family "Eukaryotic small subunit ribosomal RNA", at positions 248 to 490 of the family's 1831-position model. The record is from RNAcentral. Lineage: Eukaryota; Ciliophora; Spirotrichea.